GUUCCUGUAACGCAAUGGACAGCGAGCGCAUUGAACUUCCAAUCCAAAGUUCGUGGUUUCCAAUUCCACCUGAUAUG
Molecule: non-coding RNA, 77 nt
Organism: Trichonephila clavata
Lineage: Eukaryota; Metazoa; Arthropoda; Arachnida; Araneae; Nephilidae
Source: the annotation of a GenBank genome assembly